GGGGGCGACUGGUUUCGACAGGGUAGUUCUGAGAUGGGCAGCAGGCCGUGGUCUCCUCGCCACGUAAAACAGGGGUACCGUCAAAUUGAAUUGACGACAACGUUUAUUCUUUUGAGCCUUCCAUGGCUCUCGCCGCUUAAUUUAAGCCUGGCGCGUCAAUCCGGGGAGUGCUCCCGACCCCGGUGCGACGUCAUCUAGGGAGACGCUCGUGCGCACGUGACUGGUAUGGCGCACGCUAAGACCGAACCAGCUGGGACGCGCGAUGCUUGUCGCUGGACAGCGCGCGUCCGAGAUUGACCAGCGACUGAGCCUGGAGACACCUGUCAGGGGAUUGCUUUGGACCGGAGUUCGAUUCUCCGCGCCUCCACCA
Molecule: transfer-messenger RNA, 370 nt
Filed under: Eggerthellaceae
Lineage: Bacteria; Bacillati; Actinomycetota; Coriobacteriia; Eggerthellales
Also listed under: 1 other name
Description: UBA9715 sp902788545 Standard tmRNA
Rfam family: transfer-messenger RNA
About the family: Bacterial tmRNA, also known as 10Sa RNA or SsrA, is named for its dual tRNA and mRNA-like properties. Its role is to liberate the mRNA from a stalled ribosome.
Source: RNAcentral